RNAcentral lists this long non-coding RNA (462 nucleotides) under Mustela putorius furo (domestic ferret). RNAcentral's name for it is "lncRNA (ENSMPUG00000027552.1)". The record is from RNAcentral. Lineage: Eukaryota; Metazoa; Chordata; Mammalia; Carnivora; Mustelidae.
GGAAGUUAGGACUUCAACAUACAAAUUUGGGGAGAACAAAAUCUGGUCUGUAGCAUCUCACAUUCAUAUAAUGCUGCCCAAUUAACAGGGGCUAGAUUUGCUGAUCAAUAACUUCUCAGUGAUCUUAUAAAGGGAGAGAACCUUGAUCCCCUAUGGAGAACACAGAUUCAUUGAAUGCAAAUGGCCCCAGGACCAAUGGGAUCUGACUUUUGGCAUAGUUCUGGAGACCACAGAAAAGGAAAAGGAUGAGGCAUGGAGCAAAAUGACAGUCCCUUGGGAGGUGACCGCUUAGAUGAGAUGAUAAGUCAAGUGAGGAGGUUACAAGGCAUUCCAAUAAGAUGGCAACGGAAAACGCAUCUGAAAUAUCAUUUGUGGUAUAGCAAUCAAAGAACACAUUCGGUGCCUCUACUACUUCUUGGAGCCGGUCGAAUAAAGUGUCUCAGAGACUGACAUUAAAAUGUG